RNAcentral lists this ribosomal RNA (440 nucleotides) under uncultured bacterium. RNAcentral describes it as "partial 16S ribosomal RNA". It matches the Rfam family "Bacterial small subunit ribosomal RNA", at positions 338 to 795 of the family's 1533-position model. The record is from RNAcentral.
CCUACGGGAGGCAGCAGUGGGGAAUAUUGCACAAUGGGGGGAACCCUGAUGCAGCGACGCCGCGUGGGUGAAGGAGGACUUCGGUACGUAAAGCCCUAUCAGCAGGAAAGAAAAUGACGGUACCUGACUAAGAAGCCCCGGCUAACGACGUGCCAGCAGCCGCGGGAAGACGUAGGGGGCAAGCGUAAUCCGGAGUUACUGGGUGUAAAGGGAGCGUAGAGGGCUGUGCAAGUCCGGAGUGAAAGCCCGGGGCUCAACCCUGGGACUGCUCUGGAAACUGUAAAGCUGGAGUUCCGGAGGGGCAGGCUGCAUUCCUGGUGUAGCGGUGAAAUGCGUAGAUAUCAGGCGGAACACCGGCGGCGACGGCGGCCUGCUGGACCGUAACUGACGUUGAGGCUCGACAGCGUGUGUAGCAAACAGGAUUAGAUACCCCAGUAGUC